RNAcentral lists this ribosomal RNA (253 nucleotides) under uncultured bacterium. RNAcentral's name for it is "partial 16S ribosomal RNA". It matches the Rfam family "Bacterial small subunit ribosomal RNA", at positions 524 to 776 of the family's 1533-position model. The record is from RNAcentral.
UACGGAGUGUGCAAGCGUUACUCGGAAUCACUGGGCAUAAAGCGCGCGUAGGCGGGUUUUCAAGUCGGUUGUGAAAUCCCUCAGCUCAACUGAGGAACUGCAUCCGAUACUGUCUGUCUUGAGGACGAGAGGGGAAAGUGUAACUUCUGGUGGAGCGGUGAAAUGCGUAGAUAUCAGAAGGAACGCCGGUGGCGAAAGCGACUUUCUGGCUCGUAUCUGACGCUGAGGCGCGAAAGCUUGGGUAGCAAACGGG